AAAUCUCAAAUCACUUCAGACCCUCAAAACAUAUUGACCAAAAAUUGGAGCACUGAAGCCAUUGUUUGCAGUUGGAUCGGAGUUACUUGUGAUUCACGUUACAAUAGGGUUACUCAGCUGAAUAUAUCGUACAUGGGUCUUGUCGGAACCCUCCCACCAGAAAUCGGGAAUCUUUCUUCUCUCGUCUCUUUAGAAGCGAAUCAUAACUCUUUUCAUGGCCCCAUUCCCCCAUCUAUCUUCAACAUGUCAUUUCUAGAAGUUUUGGAUCUACGGAAUAAUAGUUUGUCCAGUAGUUUGCCUCUUGAUAUGUGCAUACACAAUCUGCAUAGACUCAAGUGGCUUCGUAUAUCUUACAAUGAGAUGUAUGGGGAAAUACCAUCGAGUUUGGGGCAGUGUUCACAGCUUGAGUAUCUUUCUUUGUACAAUAACAAUUUCACUGGAUUUGUGCCCAGAGAAAUUGGGAACUUGACGAAGCUUCAAAUAUUGUACCUUGAUGUAAAUAAAUUGACUGGUAAGUUGAUUCCUAUAAUUAUGAGGUCAAAUCAUGCAUUUAAUGCCUUAUUAUUUAAUUCUUUAAUUUGUGUGCUUUGCGUUUGAGAGUCAAAUUUAAACUUUAUAUCGGGUGAUAAGUAAUAUUUUUCCCUAUACGUUUCAAUCUAGAAUUAGCUAGACUAACUUUUUGUGAUUAUUUGGAUAUUUGAAGGAAUUAUUCCACAAGAGAUUCAUCAUCUUCAUAAUUUACGAGAGUUGGACUUGAGUUUGAACAAGUUGUCAGGCACUUUGCCUUCAGAAAUUGGGAACAUGAAAGCACUACAGGAUUUAUACCUUGAAAACAAUGCUUUAAACGGUAAGAUUUCUAACUCUUGUAGAGUUUUACACAUAUUCAAAUGUUUCUUAAUUAAUUUUCAUGUAUAUUUAGCAUUUACAUCCUUUGUGAGAUCUUUAACUUCUCAAAUCUAUAUUUGACUUUUCCACACAGCAUUUACAGCUAUGUUCUUCUCAAAUCAAUAUUGUUCUUUGUCUUCCAUUGAUUAGUGGAAUAAAUAUCAUUAUACUUAAACAGUGUAUAGCUCAAUCUCCCAUCCGAUCAAAUCACGUGUUUUUACUUAUUAUUCUUAUGAUAGUUAUACUGAAGAAUAUGGAACUUGACUUUGAUGACUUCAUUAUUAUCCAGGUACUAUUCCGAAAGAGAUUGGAAAUCUGUAUAAUUUACGGUUUAUGUGGUUGUAUUCUAACAAACUUAGCGGAUCAAUCCCGAGAGAAGUGGGGAACAUGACAGCUCUGGGCAGCUUACACCUCGAGAAUAAUAGUUUAAGUGGUAUCAUUUAUUGUUUCCCUAGCCACAAGUUUAGCUCCUCAAGCUAGCUUGCGAGUUAAUUUAUGUUAUGCAUAAUUUCUCCUCUUUCCAGGUCCAAUGCCUAAAUCCUUGAUCGAUCAAAUGUCAAAGUCUAAAUAAAAAUAACAAUAACUCACUAACAUAAAAUAAAUAGUGUACAUAUCACGUAAACAUUAAAUUCUAUAUAGUAUAUGUUAUCAUACCUUGAGAUGUAUGUGUUUGAUAAAUUAGUAUGACCCCCAAAUUUCUCAAAAAUUAUAAUAAACCUUAUACAAAUAAAUAAUUUUGCGGCCUAAGAAUUUUAUCGAUGAUUAAUGGUAAUUUAUUAAUAUAUCAAUAAAUUAACAACUUUUUAGUUUAUAAAGUAUUUUCUUAAUUUCAGAAAUUACAAUAAAUCAAGUUAUAAUGAGUAAAAACAAAGAGAGUUAAUAUUUAAAUUAAAUAAAUGGAUGUAUCUAUCAAGUCAAUGUGGUUGAUAUUACAGGAGAUCCUAAUGAUGUUCAAGUUGAAGAUGAUUCAACAAUAAAUUCAAAUUAUAAGAAGUUAAAAUAGUAUUCAUAAUUGUAAUAUUUUAAUAAUAUUAUUUUAAUUAUAAUAUUAAUGGGACCUAUAUAUACAAUAAUCUGCAUCGGGUCGGAAUCCAGUCAUCGAGACAGUAAUCAAUAAUUAGAAAAUUUUGACUUUAGGAUGCAAACAUUAAAAGGUUCAUAGGUUAGGGUGAUAAGUACUCCCUCCGUCCACGAAUAAAUACUCAUAUUCUUUUUGUCCGUCGAAAUGUAUCCCACACAAUCCUUUAAUUAAUACUCUUAAAAAGUGGGAUCCUUAUUCUACUCACACUACACUCAAUACAUUGCUUAAAACUCGUGCCGUCCACAAAUGGGUACUCAUUUCGUGGAUAGAGUGAAUAAUAUUUUCCAUGUACGUUUCAAUCUAGAAUUAAACUAACUUUUUUUUGAUGAUUUUAAUAUAUAUUUGUAGGAGUUAUUCCACAAGAGAUUCGUCAUCUUGAUAAUUUACAAGAGUUGGACUUGAGUUCAAACAAGUUGUUUGGCACUUUGCCACCAACCAUUUUCAACAUGUCUUCCUUGACAUUGAUUGACUUAUCAAGUAACACACUUAGCGGGGCAUUGCCUUCAGAAAUUGGGAACAAGAAAGCAAUACUAGAGUUUUUAAACCUUCAAAACAAUUCUUUAACCGGUAAGAUUUCUAACUCUUGUAGGGUUUUACACAUAUUCAAAUGUUUCUUAAUUUUCAUGUAUAUUUAGCAUUUACCGCCAUUGUGAGACCUUUAACUUCUUCUCAAAUCUAUAUUGACUUUUCCAUAUAGCAUUUACAGGUAUGUUUCUGAAAUCUAUAUUGUUCCUUGUCUUCCAUUGAUUAGUGGAAUAAAUAUCAUUAUAGUUAAAUAGUACACAGCUCAAAAUUUCCUCAAGCUAGCUUGCAAGUUAAUUUCUUUUUUUUGGGAUUCCCACAAACUUAGUGGAGCUUUGCACGCACAAAUUUGGAAUAUUAGAACUCUUUGUCGCUCACACCUUUUUAACAUUUAUUUAACUUUUCCGCCAGGUACUAUUCCUAAAGAGAUUGGAAAUCUUCAUAAUUUGCAGGACAUGUGGUUGUAUUCCAACAAACUUAGUGGAUCAAUCCCGAGAAAAGUGGGGAACAUGACAGCUCUUGACCAGUUAGGGCUCGACAAUAAUACUUUAAGUGGUAUGAUUUAUUAUCACCUAGCCACAAGUUUAGCUCCUCAAGCUGGCUUGCGAGUUAAUUUCUUUGUCUCUUAUUUCAUUUGAUCUUCUUUAAUUAUGUUGUCUUAUUUCAUUUCGUGUUGUUAUUUUAUGUUAUGCAUAAUUUCUCCUCUUUUCAGGACCAAUGCCUAAAUCUUUGAUCGAUCAAUUGUCAAAGUCUAAAUAAAAAUAACAAUAACUCACUAACAUAAAAUAAAUAGUGUACAUAUCACGUAAACUUUAAAUUCUAUAUAUNGAUCAUAGACUCCUUCUUUAAGUAGAAAUAAUCCAUGAUUAUCUUGUUGAACUUUAAUGUCGAUCCUUUAAAGAUAAAAAGUCCAUGACAAGCUUGAAGUCUAUCCUUAAUAUGAAAGAAGUCCACAACGAAUAGAUCUUUGAGGAGAGAUUGAAUACUUCAACAAAACCUUGUGCAAAUUUGAAAAGGUAUCUUUUGAGAAUAUUCUGGUACUGACGGUAUCACAUCAGGUAGCUCUGAUGGUAUCAAUUGAUAGCAAAAUGUCUAUAGAAAUGACGACAACAUAACAGAGUAAACAAUACUCUAACAAAUAUCAUUAUACUUAAAUAGUAUACAUACAGCUCAAUCUCCCAACCGAUUGAAUCGUAUAAUUUUACUUAUUAUUGUUAUGAUCGUUAUACUUAACAAUAUGGAACUUGACUUAAUUUGAUGACUUCAUUAUUCUCCAGGUACUAUUCCGAAAGAAAUUGGAAAUCUUCAUAAUUUGAGGUGGAUGUGGUUGCAUUCUAAUAAACUUUGCGGAUCAAUUCCGAGAGAAGUGUGGAACAUGACAGCUCUGGGCAGCUUACACCUCGGCUAUAAUAGUUUAAGUGGUAUCAUUUAUUAUCAUCUAGCCACAAGUUUAGCUCCUCAAGCUAACUUGCGAGUUAAUUUCUUUUUCUCAUAUUUCAUAUGAACUUCUUUAAUUAUGUGGUAUGUUGUCUUUGGAGUUGGUAGGGGUCAUUCAUUGUGUUGUUGUUUUAUAUUAUUCAUGAUUUCUCCUCUUUUCAGGUCCAAUACCAUCUACCAUUGGAAACCUAUCACGUUUAUGGCACUUAAAUCUUGCUUCCAACAAAUUCAGUGGUGAGUUUCCAUCCUCCAUCAGCAACUUGACAUAUUCUUUGAAAUACUUAAUCUCUAGUACAUAACAGUUUGGAAGGUUUUCGAAACUUUAGCAAAUCUUUGAUGAUCUUUCGUUUAAACACAAACCAAUUUAGUGGUAUUAAAUUGCAAGGACCAUCAACAUUUACCAAUGGUAGUAAUCCUUUUCAGUCAUUUUUUUAGGGGAUCUUUUCCGGUCAAUUUAAGUGGUAAUAAAUUGCAAGCAACAUUACCUAAAUCUUUGAUCAAUUGUCAAAGUCAUAUAGUUGUGUAUUUCACAAAUUUAUAAAUGACUUUUCCAUAUAGUAUUCAUUAGGUCUAGUAAGAAAUCUGUUGAAAUUAAAUAUACUAUAUUUAGAAAUAAUGCAAUACAUUCGCCAUUAUGUUAAACAAGAUGUUGAACUUUAUGUAUACCAAUGUAAAUGUCUAGUUCAAAUUACAGACAAAAGCUUAUAUAGAUUAAAAUUGUCGAUGUUGGUAAAAUGCUUUGUGCUUUUUUAGAUAUAAAGAAAUUUGAUUCAUAUCAUUCUCUAUCUUUCCAAUAAUAUAUCUGAAGGCCUCGUACCAACUUUCAGGUCAAAUACCAUCCUCCAUUUGUAACUUGACAUCCCUUGAGUAUCUUGUUCUCUCAAACAACACUUUGGAUGGAUCAAUUCCACAAUGCUUUGGAAACUUGAGCUCUUUGGCCAUCUUUCAUUUAAAUGAAAAUCAGUUUAAUGGUCUCAUUCCAUCAACAUUUAGCAAGGGGUGUAUCUUGGUCAUAAUUUGAAUGUAAUAAAUUGCAAGGACCAUUACCUAAAUCCUUGAUCAAUUGCCGAAGUCUACAAGGCCUCGACGUUGGAAAUAAUAGAAUAAAGACGAAUUUCCCUUUUGGAUGGAACCUUCCAGACCUUCGAGUGUUGGUCAUGAGGUCUAACAUGUUUUAUGGCAACAUGUCACUUCCUUCACAAACCAAGAUUCCAUUUGCUAAUUUGCAAGUUUUAGAUAUAUCUCGGAAUAGAUUAGUGGGAUCUCUACCUCAAAGAUAUUUCAAGAAUUUUAAAGCAAUGAUAGAGGAAAAUGAGACAAUCACAUCAAAUGAAUUUGAAAAUUAUGUGGAGAUGAGGCUCACCUUGAAAGGUUUGGAUCAAUUAUUACAGAGAUUGUUGUCAGCCUUUACAACAAUUGACUUAUCCUCCAAUAGGUUUUCUGGGAGUAUUCCACAUUCCAUAGGAAAUCUUAAGAUUCUCAAAUACUUAAAUUUGUCCCACAAUAACCUCAUCGGAAAUAUACCUCCAUCUCUUGGAAAUAUGAAUGAACUUGAGUCCUUGGACUUGUCAGUGAACAAGUUGAAUGGAGAAAUUCCAAGUGAAUUGACAAGGUUGACAUUUCUUGCGAAAUUAAACCUUUCAAUGAAUAAUCUUGUGGGGCGAAUACCACAGUCUAAGCAGUUUUCCACAUUUGAGAAUGAUUCAUAUGUGGGAAACUUGGAACUGUGUGGAGUUCCGUUCACGAGAAAAUGCAACAAGGAGAAGGGACAACGGCCAGAAGAAGAAGAAGAUGAUGAUGAUGAUGAUGAGUCUGGAUUUAUAGAUGGAUUUGGUUGGAGAAGUGUGGUGAUGGGAUAUGGAAGUGGAUUCAUAGUGGGAAUUGGAAUUGGUUACAUUAUUAUUAGAAAUGGAAGGCCCAGAUGGUUAGCUGAAUUCUUUUUUGGCGUUGGAUAUAAUUAUAAGAUGAAGAAGAGAUGCAGCAAUGCUACACCAACACGCCGCAGGAGAACUUAAUUGAAGCCCAAAAGAAUUCAUUUGUUCUUCAGUUGGUGUGUUUUGGUCGAUUUGAACUUUGGAGUUUAUGAAAUAUUGUUGUAUGUUCGAAUUUGCGAAGUUUUAAUUUUAUCUUGUUUCGAUAUAUUUUUUAGAUUAAAUCAGUUUUGUGAUUUUAUUUGGUAAAUUUUUAGAUUUGUUAAAAAUGACUUAGUUUUAGUGACAUAGAACACUUGAUUGUCCACGCUAAUAAUUUUUUUAGAUCAUUCUGUUUGAGCAGAUUUUUGCACGCCUACGAACUGUUUGAUAAAAGUCCGAAAUGAAUUCUCGGAGUUGUUCAGGUUAACGCAUAAUUCGCUCACCAAAGCUAACGCAUACUUUUAACAAUUUAAAUAGAUAUUUAUUGGGAAAAUUCUUAAAUCAAAUGAUAGUAUUUAGUUAAAUAAAUAUAUAUUUACAAUUUCUUAAUUUCCUAUAACAUGCCCAACAUAUUCUACCCGAGUUGACGCUACAUUAAAUGUAAACACUUUUAGGAGCUUAUAAGCUCUUGAUGAUGUUUGACAAAAUGAGCUAUUACACAACUUAUAAGGUAACCAAGAGUAUGGUAUUCCGUGUGCGUGUGUUGCCAAGCAGUAAGAGCUUAAUGCCUAAGGCCAAAAGUCUUGGAUUCGAGUCCCUUGUGGCGCGACCUUUUAAAUUUCUUUAUUUAUAAAAAAUAAGAUUUAAGUUAUUGCACCUAAAUAAUUUUUUGAUAAAUUCAAAAAGAACUUCUUAUUUUUUAAAUCUUAUAAGCAACAUUUAUUUUAUAAAAGUUACCCUACUAUUAUUUUUUAUUUCUAUCAUAUACUCUUUCAAUUUUAUAUCCCUAACUUUGUCGAUAUUAAACUCAUCAUUUUCUGCAUCAAAAAUCACCAAAUUAUAUAUUAAAUUACAUUAAAGCACAAAAUAAUCUAAGAAUAUGAGCAACUCAAAUACACACUUUAAGUUUCAAAUUAUCUUACCCAGGAUGCCAUAUCGUAUCUCAACUUCCUCCUCUUUCUCAUAAAACAACUUUGUUUUGACUAUUCCGCCACUUACUUCUUAUUUUAUACAAGUAAACAACUUUGUUUUCUUUUAAGGGGUGCCUUUACUUUGGUGUUAAAAUUUUCAUUGGAAAAUGAUGGAUAAGAAAAGAUGAGAAAAUAUUAUUUUUUCUUCUUUUUUUAUGUUAUGUUUAUUAGAGAUGAAAAGAUGAGAGAGUAUUGGAGAGAAAAAAAUGUGAAAAUGAGCUGCCCAAGAAAAUAUUUGAUUCUGCCCGGAGAAAAUUUUACAUUAUAGUAAAUAUAUGAAAACGGUGAAAAAUAUGUGAAAAUAUAUUUUUUUUCUCUCAUUUUCCAUCAAAGUAAACGCACCCUAACAGGUAACUGUGAUUCACGUUAUAGUAGACAAACUCAUUUAAAUAUCUCGCACAUGGAACUAGAAAUCAAAAAUCAUUCUUGCAUAAUUGAGUUUGGGUCAAUGUUCACAACUUGACUUGUGCCUACACAAAUUGGCAGCAUCAUGUGUGACACACAUUUUGUCUUUUUCUUCAGCAAAGUCCAUUCAUUACUGAAGCUUCUUAAUUUCAUUUUUCAUUUGUGGGACCCAAAAAAUGCGGCUAUAUUUGUAGUAGUUUCAUUUUCACUCGCUUUUGCCUCCAAAACUCUUAUUUUCUUCUUAAUUCUUUGCCCCAUUCACACUCCAACUUAAUUAAUUAAAAAUUGAUUGGAGAAAUUCAUACAUUUUUGCCGUAGGACUUGGGAAAGAUUAUUUUUAGAUUUCAAUAUAAACAGCACAACUACAAUAUUAGCACUCUGCAUUCACAAUAUGAAGAGAGUUUCCACAUUUUUCCUACUUUCCCUACUCAUGGGGUUUUCUUGCCUUAGCCUUGCUAACACAGAUCAAAUCAAAAGUGAUGAAUCAUCACUUCUUGCCUUCAAAUCCCGCAUCACUUCAGAUCCUUCCAAUAUUUUUAAAAAUAAUUGGACCACCGGAACCUCUAUCUGCACGUGGAUGGGAGUUACUUGCGAUUCACGUUAUAGUAGGGUGACUGCUUUAGAUCUCUCGAAUAUGAGACUCGAAGGCAGCAUCCCACCAGAAAUCAUAAAUCUUUCUUUUCUUGUUUCUCUAGAUUUGAGUGUGAACUCUUUUCAUGGUCCCCUACCAAAGGAUAUUUGCAGGCACAACAACCUUCGAAGACUCAAAGAACUUUACUUGUACUCCAACAAAUUGAAGGGGGAGAUACCAUUGAGCUUGGGUGAAUGUCCACAACUUGAGAUUAUUGACUUGUCAGACAACAACUUUGGUGGACAUGUGCCUGCACAAAUUGGGAACAUCACACAGCUUAAGGAAUUACGCCUUAGUUGGAACAAUUUGACAGGUAUGGUCUUAUCUCAAUAAUGAGAAUUUAACUCGUUCGAGUUUUAAAAAAAAUUAGGCCACUAUUUUAGGGUGUGGUUUGAAAAAAUAGGCCAAUUUUUUCGAACUUGCAAAAAUAGGUCAAUUAUUUUAAAUUUUGACGUCCGUAAGCCACAUUUGAUUCUAAUCGGGCUAUUUAGGGCCAAAUAUGGCCUAUUGAUGCCGAAUUGGGGCAAAUGUGGCCAAAGAUGCUAAAAUUUAAAGUAAUUGACCUAUUUUUGCAAGUUCAAAAAAUAUUGACCUAUUUUUUUGCAAAUCGUUAUAAGAUAGUGACUGCAAAAAAUUUUAAACUCAACUGGUUUGAUCCCACUUUUCCGUUUCUAUUGGGAUUUCAUGAAAUGACUUGAUGAUAUAUGCCAUUCAGUUUCGUAUCUGACUUUACUCAAGACGUUCUAAAGUUCCAACUUUUCAAAGAAUUUUCAAAAAAUUAAUUAAGAGAAACUCCCAAGACAUUUUAGUUUACUCAGAAAAUUUGAAAACCACAUUUCCCCAACUUUUACUUGGUGAAAACAUGACUAAACAAUAAGGCUAAAAACAAGGAUUUUUACUUAUAGUUUGUCCAGAUACAUUCAAAGUGAAGUUUCUUAGCUUCGAUCUACGUACUUAAAUCUUAACCAAAUUUCAAUCAACUUCAUUCCAUACAUUCAUAAACAUAAUAGAUACAAGAUUUCAACAACUUCCUUCAAAAAUUAUGAAAUCAAGAUGCACAAAUCUUGCAAUUCUUACAUCUUCACACAUGUUUCUCAUAUCAUAUUGAAACUCAUACUUUCAUCUCCCAACCAAUCGAACCACGUAUUUCACUUAAUAUUGUUAUGAUGGUUAUACUUAACAAUAUGGAACUUGACUUUGAUGACUUCAUUAUUCUCCAGGUACUAUUCCGAAAGAGAUUGGAAAUCUUCAUAGUUUACAGAUCAUGCGUUGGGUUCCAACAAACUUAGCGGAUCAAUCCCGAGAGAAGUGUGGAACAUGACAGCUCUUAGCAGCUUACUGCUCGACAAUAAUAGUUUAAGUGGUAUGAUUUAUUGUUUCCCUAGCACAAGUUAGUUCCUCAAGCUAGCUCGUGAGUUAAUUUCUUUUUGUUGAUGUAUUUGGAUAUUUGUAGGAGUCAUUCCACAAGAGAUUCACCAUCUUCAUAAUUUACAAUGGUUGGCCUUGAGCUUGAACAAGUUGUCGGGCACUUUGCCAUCAUCAAUUUUCACAUGUCUUCCUUGACAGUGAUUCGCUUAUCAAGAACAUGUUUAGCGGGGCAUUGCCUUCAGAAAUUGGAAACAACAAGACAACAGCACUACAUGUUUUACACCUUAAAAACAAUACUUUAAGUGGUAAGAUUUCUAUCUCUUGGAGAUAUAGCAUUUACAGCUAUUGUGAGACCUUUAAGUUCUCAAAUCUAUAUUUGACUUUUCCAUAUAGCUGGUACGAGUCAUAUAUUGUGUUGUUAAUUUAUAUUAUGCAUAAUUUCUUCUCUUUUCAGGGCUAUUACCAUCUACUAUUGGAAACCUAUCAAGUUUGUACUACUUAAAUCUUGGUUCCAACAAGUUUAAUGGUGAGCAUUCAUCCUCCAUCUGCAACUUGACAUAUAUAGAGUAAAAUAGUCGAUUUUAGUAAGAUAUUGCUCUGUGCAUUUAUAUCUACUUAUCUAUUAUAUGAAUAUUUAUUUUUAUUCCAACACAGUUACAUAAACAUAUCAAAUAAAAUUAGUGGCAUGUCAUCAUCAUACUUAAUAAUUACAUAUAGCUCAAUCUCCUAACUAAAUCAUGCAUUUUACUUAGUAAUGUUAUUUUACUUAGUAAUUUAUUAUUCGGACACAAGUUUAGUAGUAACAUGUUGACUUGUAGUUGGUAGCUAGGAGUCAUACAUUGUGUUGUUAUUUUAUGUCAUGCAUAUUUUAUCCUCCUUUCAGGUCCAAUACCAUCUACCAUUGGAAACCUAUCAAAUUUGUACUACUUGAAUCUUGGUUCUAACAAAUUUCAUGGUGAGCUUUCAUCUUCCAUCUGCAGCAUGACAUUCCUUGAAAUACUUUUACUCUCUAGUAUAUAAUAGUUUUGAAGAAUCAAUUGCACAAGGUUUUCGAAACUUUAGCAAACUUUGAAUUUCAUUUAAACAAACCAGUUUAGUUGCCUCAUUCCAUCAACAUUUACCUAAAGAAUUUUAUGUGGUAAUAAAUUGCAAGGACCAUUACCUAAAUCCUUGAUCAAUUGCAAAAGUCUACAAGCAAUUUUAUUGGAUAGAUAUAUUUAUUUAUAAGCCCUAUCAAAUAGCUAUAAAUAUAUAUCAAAUAGAUUUAGUGUAAUAUUUAAUGAAUUAAUAUAUUUUUAUAAAUAUAUAAUAUUUUAUUUAUAAAAUUACCCUUAAAAUAAAAUAUGUAAUAAGAAUAUAAUAUGCAAUCUAUAUUUUAUGCCCAAAACACUUUUUAUAUUAGUAUAGAUAAAGAAAUUUGAUUUUUAUCCUUUUAUGUCUUUCAAAUAGUAUGUUUGUUACCAACUUUCAGGUCAAUUACCAUCUACCAUUGUGAAUAUUCUACCAUUGAAUUUUCUGCAACUCUCUUCCAACAAAUUAAUCGGAGAGAUUCCACUCUCCCUCUGUAACAUGACAUCCCUUCGGUAUCUUCUUCUCUCAACAAACAAUUUGGAAGGAAUAAUUCCACAAUGCUUUGGAAACUUCAGCUAUUUGGCCAUCUUUCAUUUAAAUGAAAAUAAGUUUAGUGGUCUCCUUCCAUCAACAUUUAGCGAGAGGUGUAGUCUUGUUUCCAUCAAUUUGAAUGGUAAUAAAUUGCAAGGACGAUUACCUAAAUCCUUGAUCAAUUGCGAAAGCCUACAAGCACUCGACAUCGGAAAUAAUAGAAUACAAGAUGAAUUUCCUCUCUGGAUGGAUGUCCUUCCAGACCUUCGAGUGUUGGUCUUGAAGUCUAACAAGUUUUAUGGGAACAUAUCACUUCCUUCACAAACCAAGAUUUCAUUUCCUAAUUUGCUAAGUUUUAGAUAUAUCUCGGAAUAGAUUCGUGGGUUCUUUGCCUCAAAUAUAUUUCAAGAAUUUCAGAGCAAUGAAAGAGGAAAAUGAGAAAAUCACAUCAAAUGAGAUUGAAAAUUAUGUGGAGAUGAGGCUCACCUUGAAAGGUCUGGAUCAAUUAUUACGGAGAUUGUUGUCGGACUUUACAACAAUUGACUUAUCCUCCAAUAGGUUUUCUGGGAGUAUUCCAAAUUCCAUAGGAAAUCUUAAAUUUCUCAAAUACUUGAAUUUGUCCCACAAUAACCUCAUAGGAAAUAUACCUUCGUCACUUGGAAAUAUGAAUGAACUUGAAUCCUUGGACUUGUCAGUGAACAAGUUGAAUGGAGAAAUCCCAAGUGAAUUGACUAGGUUGACAUUUCUUUCAACAUUAAACCUUUCAAUGAAUAAUCUUGUUGGACAAAUACCACAAUCUACUCAGUUUUCCACAUUUGAGAAUGAUUCAUAUAUGGGAAACGGGGGAUUGUGUGGACUUCCAUUGACCAAACAAUGCAAUGAGGAGAAUGGGCAGCAGAUGCAGCUAGAAGAAGAUGAUGAUGAUGAAGAUGAUAAGUAUGGAUUUAUAGAUGGGUUUGGAUGGAGAAGUGUGGUGAUGGGAUAUGGAAGUGGAUUCAUAGUUGGGAUUGGAAUUGGUUACAUUAUUAUUAGAAAUGGAAGGCCAAGAUGGUUAGUGGAAUUCUUUUUUGGAGUUGGAUAUAAUUAUAAGAUGGAGCUGAGACGUAGCAGAGCUACACCAACACCAACAACACGCGGGAGAACUUAAUUGAAGCCCAAAUCAAUUGUGUGCUUUACUUGUGCCGAUUUGUGUUUUCUUUUAUCUUUUUUACGUUUUGAAUUGCUACUUAGUGUGUUUUUCUCGAUUUCAACUUUAGAGUUUAUGAAAUGUUGUUGUAUAUUCGAAUGUGUUAAGUUUUAGUUUCAUCUCGUUCUCAUUUUGAUCUAGUUGACAACUAGAUCAUUGUGUUGGAACUCUCUUUUAACAUAAAACCGGUGUCUUUUAAGUGAUGUGUAUAAGAGAUUUUGCUGUAGCGGUAAAAGAAGUUUAAUCGGGUUUUUGGAGAGCUUCUAUUCAGGUAUAAAAUAAUACUUCAUCCGUCCACAAAAAAUAAUCAUAGAAGGAGAUGACACGGGUUUUAAUAAAAAUAGUUGAGUGUAUUAAUUGUAAAUGGAGAAAAGGUCCUACUUCAUUACCUUAAAUUUUCACAUUUUUUUGCCACUCUCAAUAUUUUCAAUAAUUUUUUCUCCACUCUCAAUAUAUUCAACAACUUUAUUUCUCCACUCUCUAUAGAAUCUAACUACUUAACUAGAUAAAUAAAAAUAAUAAUAACAAUGACUCACUAACAUAAAAUAAACAAGGUACAUAUCACGUAAACUUUAAGUUCUAUAUAUAUGUUAUCAUACUAUAGUUAUAAUAAACCUUAUACAAAUAAAUAAUUUUGGGACCUAAGAAUUUUAUCGAUGAUCAAUCGUAAUUUAUUAAUGUAUCGAUAAAUUAACAACUUUUUAGUUUAUAAAGUAUUUUCUUGAUUUCAGAAAUUAUGAUUAAAUCAAGUUAUAAUGAGUAAAAAUAAAGAGAGACAAUAUUUAAAUUAAAUAAAUAGAUGUAUCUAUCAAGUUAUUGUGGUUGAUAUUACGGGAGAUCAUAAUGAUGAUCAAGCUGAAGAUGAUUCAACCACAAAUUCAAAUUGUAUAAAGAUAAAAUAGUAUUCAUAAUUGUAAUAUUUUAAUAAUAUUAAUGGGGCCUAUAUAUGCAAUAAUAUUGUGCAUCGGGCCGGAAUCCAGUCAUCGAGACAUUAAUCAAUAAGAAAAUUUUGACUUUAGGACGCAAAACAUUAAAAGGAUCAUAGGUUUGGGUGAUAAGUAAUAUUUUCCAUAUAUGUUUAAAUCUACCAUUAAACUAACUUUUUGUGAAGUUUUGGAUAUUUGUAGGAAUUAUUCCACAAGAGAUACAUCAUCUUGAUAAUUUAGGAGCUAGUGUUGGACUUGAGUUUGAACAAGUUGUCAGGCACUUUGCCACCAACCAUUUUCAACAUGUCUUCCUUGAUUGAUAUGGAUUGACUUAUCAAGUAACACACUUAGCGGGGCAUUGCCUUCGGAAAUUGGGAACAUGAAAGUAGCACUAGCGUUUUUAAACCUUCAAAACAAUGCUUUCACUCUUAUAGAGUUUUACACAUAUUCAAAUGUUUCUUAAUUUUUAUGUAUAUAUUGGAUUUACAGCCAUUGUGAGACCUAUGUACUUCUUCUCAAACCUAUAUUUGACUUUUCCAUAUAGCAUUUACAACUAUGUUCUUCUCAAAUCUAUAUUGUUCUUUGACUUUCAUUGAUUACUGGAAUAAAUAUCAUUAUACUUAAAAUAGUAUACAGCUCAAUCUCCCAACCAAUCGAAUCACGUAUUUUACUUAUUAUUCUAAUGAUCGUUAUACUAAACAAUAUGAAACUUGACUGAUGACUUCAUUAUUCUCCAGGUACUAUUCCGAGUGAAAUUGGGAACAUGGAAGCACUACAAUUUUUAUACCUUGGAAACAAUGGUUUAACCGGUAAGAUUUCUUAUUGUUGUAGGGUUUUAAACCUAUUCAACAUGUUUAUUUCCAAUUGGAACCAUUUUCAGCACGCUUGUCUCCUUAUCCAAAAAGCAUAUAUAAUUACGGAGCUCGGUGAACUUUUUUGUACGAUUUAUUGUUCUUUGUCUUCCAUUGAUUAGUGGAAUAUACUCCCUCCGUCCACCAAUUGAUAUCCUAUUUUCCUUUUUGGUCCGUGCACUAAUUUAUGUUCUACCCAUUUAUAGUAACUCUUUAUAAUUUUUUAAUUGGUGGGUUCCAAUAAACAAUACAAUUUUUCUCCACUCAACUAAUAAACAAUACACUUUGUGGGUCCCUUUGUCCACGCAACUAAUAAAUAAUAUAUUUUGUGGGUCCCUUUCUCCACUCACUACACUUUUUCUUAAAACCCGUAUUUCCUCCCCUACGUCAUAAAUUAGUGGACGGAGAGAAUAUAUCAUUAUACUUAAUACUAUACAGCUCAAUCUCCCAACCCAUUACUAGUUGUGUUUUUCACAAAAUGUCUAGUUUAAAUAACAGACAAAUGUUGGUAAAAUGCUUUGUGCAUUUUUAGAUAUAAAGAAAUUUGAUUCAUAUCCUUCUCUAUCUUUCAAAUAAUAUAUUUGAAGGUCUUGUACUAACUUUCAGGUCAAAUACCAUCAACCAUUGGGAAUAUUCUACCAUUGAUUGUUCUACAACUCUAUUCCAACAAAUUAAUCGGUGAGCUUUCAUCCUCCAUCUAUAACUUGACAUCUCUUGAUGCUCUUGUUCUCUCAAAUAUCACCUUGGAAGGAACAAUUCCACGAUGCUUUGGAAACUUGAACUCUUUGACCAUCUUUCAUUUAAAUGAAAAUCAGUUUAGUGGUCUCAUUCCAUCAACAUUUAGAGAGGUGUGUAAUUUUGUGUCCAUCAAUUUGAAUGGUAAUAAAUUGCAAGGAACAUUACCUAAAUCCCUGAUCAAUUGCGGAAGUCUACGAAGCCUCGACGUUGGAAAUAAUAGAAUACAAGAUGAAUUUCCCUUCUGGAUGGAAGUCCUUCCACAGCUUGAAGUGUUGGUCUUGAGGUCUAACAAGUUUUACGGUAACAUGUCACUUCGGGCUAAUUGCCGCUAAAUCCAUGUACUUUUUCAAUUUUUGAUUUUUUCUCAUGGCAAAAAAAAAUCUACUUUAAAAUCCAUGAAUUGCAAAAUUGAUUGGAAAUUUCCCCCGCAUCCGAUUUCCGGCCAUCAGCGAAAUGAGUCAGAUCCUAUGUGGCGAAAUUCAUUCCGGGUGUUAAGUUUAAUGAAUGACAUGGACGCCACAUAAGAUUUUAAAAACUGAAAAAAAUUAUAGGAAAUCUUAAGAUUCUCAAAUACUUGAAUUUAUCCCAGAAUAACCUCAUUGGAAAUAUACCUUCAUCUCUUGCAAAUAUGAGUGAACUAGAAUCUUUGGACUUGUCAGUGAACAAGUUGGAUGGAGAAAUUCCAAGUGAAUUGACAGGGUUGACAUUUCUUGCGAAAUUAAACCUUUCAACGAAUAAUCUUGUGGGGCAAAUACCACAAGCCCAAAAGAAUUGUUAAACUGGGGCCUUCUGGCUCCGCCAUUGGUUACAACAAUACAACAGACUUCGUUGUCAACUUCGUUUUUGGCUUUAUAAGAUACUAGCUAGUAACCUGUUGAAAUUUGAUGGAGUAUUAUUUUUUUUGUAAUGAAUUUAUCUUUACAUAACUUUUGAAAUUAAUUUAAUUUAAUGUAAUAGAGUUCAAAUUAUAUUAAUCUCAACCACCUAUAUAAAUCAAAUCUUAAUAUUUUGUUGGGAGAAUAGAAAUGUUAUUUUAUACUAUAAGUUUUUAUUUGAUUAAGUUUUGUAAAAGGUCGAUGUGGAAUUGAAAAUUUUAGAAAAAUGAGAAGAAAAAAGUGUGUAAAUUAGAUGGAUGAUAUGACAGAGGGAUUGGUUGUGCCACAUUGGUUGUUAAUUGUAUAUAGACAACUUAUGUGUGUAUUUUAGUUGUUCAAUAUUCUUGAAUUUUUUGGCUUUAAUGAAAUUUAAUAUACACAAUUAGGUUAGGUUGUUUUUUUUUUUUUGUACAGGAAUUGAAGAGAUCAAUGUCAACUGAAUCGAAUGAAUGAUGAAGAGCUAAUGUUGGGCUACAAAGCCUACAAUGUUGAUUAGUCUUACUUCCUUGUUCGUUUGGGAUUCUAGUGACAUUAUAGAGAUAAGCUUUUACUUUUUAUGCAUAAGAGGAAUAGUUUCUGCAUCUGACAUGGUUAUUCGUUUGGGAUUCUAGUGACAUUAUUCUGGUUUGUAUCUUCAAUUUAGUAGAUUGUUAGUUAUGCUUUCUUUGUUCAAUUUAAUUAUGUUUUAUUUCGAUAGCAUGAGUAGCAAAUUUAUUAAUUCAGUGAGUAUAAUGAAACACUAGUCUAAAAUCUGUGACCUAAUUGUUUUAUUGAUUGAUACAAUUGGAUGAAUUAUUUACAUCUCAAUCAGAAGAAGCUUUUAGUUUAAGCAGGGAUAUUCGUGCUUAUAAUAGAAUAUUGUCAUUUACUUCGUUCAGUGUAAAAUUGGAUAAAGAACUCGCAUCUGUAAGACGAAGAGUUUAUUCUUUACAAGCACAAGGAAUGGUUUAUCAUGAUCUUCCUGAAUUGAUCCACAAUAUACAUGUAUUUUCAAUAAUACUUUUACGACACACAAAGUGAGGUUGAGGACCGAAUUAACAUAAGAUGCACGUAGAAAUUUUAGAGUUCAACAUGUAUGAAAAAUUCUUACAAAUUAAUUUAUGUAAGAAUUUACUGGUGUUUUUGAUAAAAUUAUUUGAAUUUGAAUAAAUUUCCUCGUUACCAAGAGCUUAUUAUUAUUAUUAUUAUUAUUAUUAUUAUUAUUAUUAUUAUUAUUCAAAAUAACUCGAAUUCAAAUUGCAACAAUUGCUCUAUUUUAAGGGGGCAGUUGCGUAGAGCUUGGUUUUAGAUUGCAAAGUGUGAAUUACCCUUUAUUAUAUCUUAUUCAAAGACACAAAAAGGGGGAUUUAAAGUCUCCCAAAUCUAUUAUAAAAAUAGAGAAUAUAUUCUACUUUUGCAUGUUAUUCUACCACUUCAAAUAAACAAACAGGUUUUGUUGUUUAUUCAACUGACGUAGCCCUCUGAUCACGGCCAAAACUUAUAAUGCUAUUUUAAUAUGAAUAUUAGGGUCAUUUUUUAAGAUUUGGGUUAGACUCAAUCUCCCAAAUCGAACAGAAAGUAGCUUUCCAUAUAAAUAGUCUUAGUUGCUUUUGCCUCCAAAAAUCACUCUUUAUAGUUCCACAAUUAUUUUCUUCGUCUUUCCAAUGGGAAAAAUAUUAUUUUAGCUUUGAAUAAAAGGAAACUCUGCAUUUCCUACUUUCAUCANAACAGGCUCGAGCUCGAUUCGUUUAAAUAUUCAGGUGUCUGAACGUGAUUCGAACUUUUAUCUUGUUAAUCGAGUUUAGCUCGUUACUCACUUACCGAGCUCAAGCUCAGUUCGAAUUCAGCUCAUGUGAUACUCAAUAAUAUCGAAUUCGAGCUUAAGCUCGAGCUCGAACUCGAUGUGUUUAAAGUUUGUGUACUAACUCAAUUGAAGGUUCGUGAAUAAACUCGCAAAUAUAUUCGUGAUUAAUCGCAUUUGAAUAUGUUCGCAAGCUAAACGAGCCGAGUGCUGCCAAGUUUGAGCUCGGUUCAAAAAAAUUAUCGAGCUCAAAAUCAAGCUCAAACUUGUUUACUAUCAAACCGAUCAAGUUUGGGAUCAUAUUCAGCAAUGGCUCAACAUCAAAACGGCAAAGCCACAAGGUCUCUUUCAACAUUUUUUGUCUUUUACUUAUGGUGGCAAAGGUAAGAAAAUCAGAAAAUUUUUGAAAGCUUUAUUGGUUGGAACAAUUUGGCUGCUGUGGAGUUAUAGAAAUGAAAGUAGGUUUGAAGGAAAGGAGUGGGAUCCACAAAAACUUGUGUUGGAGGUUAAAGGUAGACUUUGGAGCUGGAACAAGACUUUCCAAAUGGUGGAAGUGAAUGUUCCGUUUUCUUUGUGGUGCUCCCAAGAGUACACACUCCCCUUUUUGUAACUGUUUUGGUACUACUGAUACCGAGUUUUUCAAUAUAUUGCACUUUUAUUGAUAAAAAAAAAAAAGUUGAGUCUCGAAUAGAUCGCGGGUAGCUCUAUUUAUUUAUAAUCCUAACCGUUGGUGUUAAUGUUUGACGGUGAUACAUAUAUGCACGAAAGGACCAAGAAAAUAUUGGCCGGCGACUGACUUAUCUCACUCCCCACCUAAUUCGGCUUCCACGCGGCCUUCAAUCAACUCAAAUUACUACUUAGUAGUGCCACCCACCUUUCCCUUGACCUUCUCACGCAAAUCUAUACUAAUAGAAAAAGAGCCUAAGCAUUUUAUGGGACAACUUGUGGAUUGCCUAUUUUACCCCUAUUAUUUAUUUUGUAUUAUAUAUUUAUAAAAUCAAUCUAUUUGAUAUAUAUUUAUUUGUCACCCAAAUCUAUAAAUAAUAUUUUAUAUUAUAAAACCAAACAUAUACAUAAAAUCGUUGUCAAAUUAAUUAGAUAAAAAAUUUCUUCUCUACUUAGGUCCAAUAUUGAUGUUUCCCUCAUCUAAUCUAAUUAUAAUUUCUAAAUAAAUCCCUAAUAUAAUUGGUAUUUACAUCACAAUUCUUUUUUCCCUAAAAGAAGUUCAUCAAUUAAACCAACGAUCAAGGGGAUUCCAAUAUCUUAUCGCAUUAGAAUUCUAUUUAAUUUAUUACAUAUUUUAUUUUAAGGUUUUUUACAGAUUAUAUAUUUAUAAGAAUAUAUUAUUAUUAAUAUACACUAAAUCUAUGUGUAUAUAUCUAUAGCUAUUGAUAAGGCUUAUAAAUAAAUAUAUUCAAUCCAAUAAAAUUUAUUAAUGAAAGUAAUAAAUUAAUAAUUUUCUAAAAUAAUAGAUUAUUAAAUAAAAUAACAUUAAUUACACGUACAACGUACGUUCUUUCUGCUAGUUACUCAAAAUGACUCGAAUAUUCAAAUUGCAACAAUUGCUCUAUUUUCAGGGGGCAAUUGCGUAGAGCUUGGUUUUAGAUUGCGAAGUGUGAAUUACCCUUUAUUAUAUCUUAUUCAAAGAUCACAAAAAGGGGGAUUUAAAGUCUCCCAAAUCUAUUAUAAAAAUAGAGAAUAUCUUCUACUUUUGCAUGUUAUUCUACCACUUCAAAUAAACAAACAGGUUUUGUUGUUUAUUCAACUGACGUAGCCCUCUGAUCACGGCCAAAACUUAUAAUGCUAUUUUAAUAUGAAUAUUAGGGUCAUUUUUUAAGAUUUGAGUUAGACUCAAUAUCCCAAAUCGAACAGAAAGUAGCUUUCCAUAUAAAUAGUCUUAGUUGCUUUUGCCUCCAAAAAUCACUCUUUAUAGUUCCACAAUUAUUUUCUUCGUCUUUUCCUCAUUCACACUCCAAUUAAUUAUUUUCUCCGGCUUCGUCGCUCCAAUGGGAAAAUAUUAUUUUAGCUUUGAAUAAAAGGAAACUCUGCAUUUCCUACUUCAUCAUUAAUCCUUCCCAUUUGCCCAUCAUAUCCACACACACUCUAUAUAUACAUGUAUAUGGAUUUCAUAGUUCAAUAUUCUAAAAAAUUACUACUGUCAAAAUCAAGCCAAAAAAUGCCAAAAUCUCCCCAUUUUCUCAUCCUUGCACUACUCUUACCAAUCCAUUAUUUGAUGGAUUAUAGCUCAGCCAAAACCGAUAUCAACACCGAUCGUUCUUCACUUCUUGCCUUGAAAUCUCAAAUCACUUUAGAUCCUCAAAAUAUAUUGACCCAAAAUUGGAGCACUGAAGCCAGUGUUUGUAGUUGGAUAGGAGUUACUUGUGAUUCACACUACAAUAGGGUGACUAACUUGAAUAUAUCGCACAUGGGUCUUGUCGGAACCCUCCCACCAGAAAUCGGGAAUCUUUCUUUCCUCGUCUCUUUAAAUGCGAGUCAUAACUCUUUUCAUGGCCCCAUUCCCCCAUCUAUCUUCAACAUGUCAUUUCUAGAAGUUUUGGAACUAAAGAAUAAUAGUUUGUCUAGUAGUUUACCUCUUGAUAUGUGCAUACACAAUCUGCAUAGACUCAAGAGGCUUCGUAUAUCUUACAACGUGUUGUAUGGGGAAAUACCAUCGAGUUUGGGGCAGUGUUCACAGCUUGAGUAUCUUUCUUUGUACAACAACAAUUUCACUGGAUUUGUGCCGAGAGAAAUUGGGAACUUGACCAAGCUUCAAGAGUUGUACCUUGGUGAAAAUAAGUUGACUGGUAAGUUCAUUCCUAUAUUUAUGAGGUCAAAUCAUGCAUUUAAUGCCAUAUUAUUUAAUUCUUUAAUUUAUGUGCUUUAUGUUUGAGUGUCAAAUUUAAAAUUUAUCUCAGCUUAAUUGUAUGUAUAAACUCAAUUUGGACCACUAAUCAUUAUACAAUAACGCAUACAAAGUUUUCGAACCUUUAGAAAAUCUUUGAUGAUCUUUCAUUUAAACACAAACCAGUUUAGUGGUAAUAAAUUGCAAGGACCAUCAACAUUUACCAAUGAUUGGACUCUUUUUCAGUCAAUUUAAGUGAUACUAGUAAAUUGCAAGGAGCAUUACCUAAAUCCUUGAUCAAUUGUCAAAGUCAUAUAAUUGUGUCUUUCACAAAUUUAUAAAUGACUUUUCCAUAUAACAUUCAUUAGGACUAGUAAUCUAAAAUACUUUGAAUUAAAUAUACUAUAUUUAUAAAGAAUUCAAUAUAUUCAUUUUAAAUGUUAAGUAGGAUGUGUUAGCGUGUAUUUACAUGACAUUGUUUUAUAUUUAAAGAUUCAUAGGUUAGGGUGAUAAGUAAUAUUUUCCAUAUAAGUUUCAAUCUAGAAUUAAACUAACUUUGUGUGAUGAUUUGAAUAUUUGUAGGAGUUAUUCCACAAGAGAUACAUCAUCUUCAUAAUUUAAGAGUGUUGGACUUGAGUUUGAACAAGUUGUCAGGCACUUUGCCACCAACCAUUUUCAACAUGUCUUCCUUGGUAUGGAUUGACUUAUCAAGUAACACACUUAGCGGGGCAUUGCCUUCAAUAAUUGGGAACAAGAAAGCAGUACUAGAGUUUUUAUACCUUGAAAACAAUGCUUUAACCGGUAAGAUUUCUAACUCUUGUAGGGUUUUACACAUAUUCAAAUGUUUCUUAAUUUUCAUGUAUAUUUAGCGUUUACAGCCAUUGUGAGACCUUUAACUUCUUCUCAAAUCUAUAUUUGACUUUUCCAUAUAGCAUUUACAGCUAUGUCCUUCUCAAAUCUAUAUUGUUCUUUGUCUUCCAUUGAUUAGUGGAAUAAAUAUCAUUGUACUUAAAUAGCUCAAAAUUUCCCAUCCGAUCAAAUCAUGUAUUUUUACCUAUUAUUGUUAUGAUCGUUAUACUUAACAAUAUGGAACUUGACUUUGAUGACUUCAUUAUUCUCCAGGUACUAUUCCGAAAGAGAUUGGAAAUCUUCAUAAUUUAUGGUUCAUGUGGUUGGGUUCCAACGAACUUAGCGGAUCAAUCCCGAGAGAAGUGGGGAACAUGACAGCUCUUUCUGACUUACGGCUCGACAAUAAUAGUUUAAGUGGUAUUAGAACUCUUUUAGCGAGUUAAUUUCUUUUUUUGGGGAUUCCCACAAACUUAGUGGAGCUUUAAUUGUACCCACAAAUUUGGAAUAUUAGAACUCUUUGUCGCUCACACCUUUUUAACAUUUAUUUAACUUUUCCGCCAGGUACUAUUCCUAAAGAGAUUGGAAAUCUUCGUAAUUUACACUACUUAAGUUUGUCUUGACUAUUUAUGGCUCCACAAUAAUACUUUAAGUGGUAUGAUUUAUUAUUUAGCUAGCCACAAGUUUAGGUAAAAGAUAAUAUUGUUUGUUAAAUUAAAUAGAUGCAAAGUAAAAGAUAUUUGAUAGGUUUUGGAGAGCUUUUAUUCAGGUAAUUAAAAGAUAGUAAUAGAUUGUUUUAUUACUUCGCAAAUUCAUUUCUAAAGAAAAUUAUUUUCACCUUUAAGAGUCUCGUUUCUUUUCCAACAUUCGACACAAAAGUAUUUUUCCUUUCUUAUUUUCACUUCAAUGAUGGAUAAUAUUAGAAGGAUAAUAUUAUCCAUCAUUGAAGUGAAAAUAAGAAAGGAAAAAUACUUUUGUGUCAAAUGUUAGAAAAGAAAUGAGACAUUUGAAAGCAUAAAUUUUUGUUUCUUUUCAAUUGGAACCAUCUUCAGCACUCGUCUCUUUAUCCUAAAAGAUGGAAGCACUAAAUCUUUUAUUCCUUGGAAACAAUGACUUUGACUCUAGGACGCAAACAUUAAAAGGUUCAUAAAUUAGGGUGAUAAGUAAUAUUUUCCCUAUACGUCUCAAUCUAGAAUUAGACUAACUCUUUGUGAUGAUUUGGAUAUUUGUAGGAGUUAUUCCACAAGAGAUACAUCAUCUUCAUAAUUUAACAGUGUUGGACUUGAGUUCGAACAAGUUGUCAGGCACUUUGCCACCAACCAUUUUCAACAUGUCUUCCUUGACAUGGAUUGACUUAUCAAGUAACACACUUAGCGGGGCAUUGCCUUCAGAAAUUGGGAACAAGAAAGCAGUACUAGAGUUUUUAUACCUUCAAAACAAUGCUUUAACCGGUAAGAUUUCUAACUCUUGUAGAGUUUUACACAUAUUCAAAUGUUUCUUAAUUUUCAUGUAUAUUUAGCAUUUACAGCCAUUGUGAGACCUUUAACUUCUUCUCAAAUCUAUAUUUGACUUUUCCAUAUAGCAUUUACAGCUAUGUUCUUCUCAAAUCUAUAUUGUUCUUUGUCUUCCAUUGAUUAGUGGAAUAAAUAUCAUUAUACUUAAAUAGUAUACAGCUCAAUCUCCCAACCGAUCGAAUCACGUAUUUUACUUAUUAUUCUCAAUUAUGAUUGUUAUACUUAACAAUAUGGAACUUGACUUUGAUCACUUCAUUAUUCUCCAGGUACUAUUCCAUCCUCCAUCUGUAACUUGACAUCUCUUGGAUUUCUUGUUCUCUCAAAUAACACCUUGGAAGGAACAAUUCCACAAUGCUUUGGAAAUUUGAGCAAAUCUUUGCUCAUUUUUCAUUUAAAUGUGAAUCAGUUUAGUGGUCUCAUUCCAUCAUCAUUUAGCAAGGGAUGUGGCCUUGUGUCCAUCAAUUUGAAUGGUAAUAAAUUGCAAGGACCAUUACCUAAAUCCUUGAUCAAUUGCCAAAGACUACGAGACCUCGACGUCGGAAAUAAUAGAAUACAAGACGAAUUUCCCUUUUGGAUGGAAGUCCUUCCAGACCUUCAAGUGCUGGUCUUGAGGGCUAACAAGUUUUAUGGUAACAUGUCACUUCCUUCGCAAACCAAGAUUCCAUUUCAUAAUUUGCAAGUUUUAGAUAUAUCUCAGAAUAGAUUUGUGGGCUCUCUGCCUCAAGGAUAUUUCAAGAAUUUCAGAGCAAUGAUAGAGGUAAAUGAAACAAACUUGUCAACUAACGACACCUUCUUUAAAGAUUAUGUGGAGAUGAGGCUCACCUUGAAAGGUCUGGAUCAAUUAUUACAGAGAUUGUUGUCAGCCUUUACAACAAUCGACUUAUCCUCCAAUAGAUUUUCUGGGAGUAUUCCACAUUCCAUAGGAAAUCUUAAGAUUCUCAAAUACUUGAAUCUGUCCCACAAUAACCUCAUAGGAAAUAUCCCUUCAUCUCUUGGAAAUUUGAGUGAACUUGAAUCUUUAGACUUGUCGGUGAACAAGUUGGAUGGAGAAAUUCCAAGUGAAUUGACAGGGUUGACAUUUCUUGCGAAAUUAAACCUUUCAAUGAAUAAUUUUGUGGGACAAAUACCACAGUCUAAGCAGUUUUCCACAUUUGAGAAUGAUUCAUACGUGGGAAACUUGAGACUGUGUGGAGUUCCGUUGACGAGAAAAUGCAACGACGAGAAUGGGCAUGAGAUGAAGCCACAAGAAGAUGAUGAUGAAGAAGAUGAGUUUGGAUUUAUAGAUGGAUUUGGAUGGAGAAGUGUGGUGAUGGGAUAUGGAAGUGGAUUCAUAGUUGGAAUUGGAAUUGGUUACAUUAUCAUUAGAAAUGGAAGGCCAAGAUGGUUAGUGGAAUUCUUUUUUGGCAUUGGAUAUAAUAAUAAUAAUAAUAAGAAGAAGAAGAAGAAGAAGAGACGCAGCAGAGCUACACCAACACCACCAACACGCAGGAGAACUUAAUUGAAGGCUUGUGCUCGAAUUGUGUUUUCUUUUUCUUAUUUCCUUUGUAAUGGCUACGUUAGUGUGUUUUUAGAGUUUACGAAAUGUUGUUGUUUGUUCAAAUAUGUGAAGUUUUAAUUUUAUCUCGUUUAGGUAAUUUUUUGGAUAAACUAAAACAGUUUUGUGAUUUUAUUUGUUAAAUAUUUAGAUUAUUAAAAAUGUCAUCCUCUUAGUGACAUAGAACUGCUUGCUGGAUUUCUUCGAGCAAAAAUACUACACAUGAAUCUAGUUGGAACAGAUUCUGUUAAGCCUAUGAACAGAUCCUCAAAAUCAUCAAAUUGAUUUGGAGAAAUGAUCGUUUGUUUACUUAUAAAUCGUUGGUUUGUAUUGGCUGCUUAAUUUAUAAAUAAUGUUUUAUACAAUUUUUUUGGCUCUUGUUUUAUUAAUUAACUAAUUUAAUUUAAUAAUCUACAAAAUAUCUUACUUCUUAUUCUAUAUAAAAAUAGAAAAAAAGUGUAAUUAAAUAAAAAAAAUAGUCAUAGAAAGGUGUAGUGAAUUUAAUUUUAUACAGCCAAUGAAAAUAGACUACAACGUAAAUAUGCAACACAAAUGAUGUUGAGAGCAUAUUGCAGGAGUCUCUUGUUGAAUUAAGUAAUCAAAUAGUAAUAAAAUAAUAAUUACUCAAAAUAGAAAACACAACUUAUACAGAAGGGUUGCUAUAUCAUGUGACAUUUUAUCGAACAGUUGGAGCACUUAUCUGCAUACAAGAUUCUGCUGGGCAUUUUCUCGAACAGUUGGAGCGCCUCUUUGUUGGCCGAUAUGAACUAGAUUCUCACGUCCCCGCUUAGAGGUUAUAAAUUGAUACUCCCUCUGUCUUAGCUUUUAAUAUCUAUAUUUUCAUUUUAGUCCGUCAUUUUUUUUUAUUCAUUUCUAUUUUUGGUAAAAGUAUGUGACACCCUUACUCCACUUUAAUUACUUUAACACUCGCAUAAAAGGUAAGACCUUUAUUCCACUCGUAACACACUUAACCUCUUUAUUAAAACUUGUGUCACUUUCAAAUGGAUACUAAAAAUUGGGAAGGAGAGACUAUAUUUUUAUCAUCUUUAAGCAAAAGUCAAAUUGAGUUUGAACACGAAUUAUUUAACUAUGUUAACAUUUAUUGAAACAAGAAAAAUUAAUUAUUCACAUAUCCGAGCAUAUUACACAUUUUUUAAGUGUAAUUUAUCAAUCAUGUUAUAUGUAAUUCGCAUGCUAUUACAAAUGAUUCAAUGAAUAUAGAUAGAAAUGAAUAUAGAUAGAUAAAUCAUAAAUUUAUCCAGUAUAUACACCGAAAAUAGCGCCAACAUGUUUUCAUGAGCAUAAAAAAUAAAAAGAUAAUUAUGAAAUUCACACAUUGUCAUGUAAAUAUAUGAUAUAAGCACUGAAUGUAGUAUCCAAUCCUCGAUCUCAAUUCAAUAUGUCAUGUUUUCUUAUUUGUACGUUCCAUUUCAAUAAAUUAUUUCUUAAAAUGAAAUAUCAAUACAUUACAAACACAUUCACCUUUACACCAAGUAACAUUAUAUUAUAUCCCACAAAUAAGUACCCCUUCCGUCCCAAUAGUAGUCAGUGGCGGAUCCAGGGGGGGCUUCAGCCCCCUCCCAAUUUUUGAGUUUUUUUUUUUUAUUAUAGAUAUAUAUAUUUAUUAUUUUGUUUUAUAUCUAUAUAUAUGUGUAUAUAAAUAAAAAAUACAAGAAAAAAUAUAGUAAUACAUUAUUUAUAGUAUCCAACUAUCCAUAUUAAUUGCUCAACACAUUGAGUUGUUACAUUUAUAGUAUUAUUUUUAUCAUUUUUUCUUUCUUAGUUAAUUUUUAAUGUUAAAUUUGAGUCAAUUCUAAAGGUAAAAGUAAAAUUACUAAUUACUAACAAUGAAAAUUACUCCCUCCGUCCCUGAAAUGGCUUCCUCUUUGGGGACGGCACGGGUUUUAAUAAAAAGUUGUAAAGUGUAUUGAUAGUGAAGAAAAAGUGAUAUAAUUAUUAUUGGAAGUUGUGAAAAGUGUUAUACUCCCUCCGUCCCGCUAAAGUUGGCAACAUUCGUUUCGGCACGGAGAUUAAGAAAUUGAGUGUUAUAUGUUUUAAUAAAGUGUGGUCUACAAUUGUUGACCAAAUUAGUGAGUAAUUGUUGACUUAAUUAAAGUAAUUUUGACAUUUUUAGAAAGUGGCCUACAAUUGUUGACCAAAUUAGUGAGUAAUUGUUGACUUAAUUAAAGUAAACUUUUGCCAUUUUUAGAAAGUGGCCAACUUUAGUGGGACACCCAAAAUAGAAAUGUUGCCAACUUUAAUGGGACGGAGGGAGUAAUUAGUAUUGAGAGUGGUGAAAAGUGAAAAGUAAGAAUAAAUAAAGUAUUAUUAGUGGUGGGGUAGGUUUCCAAAAAUGGAAAAAAAGAAAGAGGAAGUUAUUUGGGGGACGUCCCAAAAUGGAAAAAGAGGAAGUUAUUUUAGGGACGGAGGGAGUAGUUUAUUUGUUUAGAAGAUGAAACAAUUUUUUUUUAAGAAAAAUGAAUAAAAGUACGUUUUUAUAUGCUUUCAAUCUACUUGAUGUUGAAUUAAUUGAAUUGCGAACAAUUAUCUUAUUAUAUUAAGUGAUUGUUGAAAAAAUGUAUGAAAAUGAAGUGUACGGAAUGCUCAAAAAAAUUUACUUCGGGGGCUCCCGCCCCCGAACCCCCGUGUAAAUAUUUUCAAGCACCGUAGUCCAAUAGAUUCAGCCCCCCCCCCUAACAUUGAAUCCUGGAUCCGCCCCUGAUAGUAGUGUCCCACUUCACCUUUCCACUUUCUUUUUUGGCAAUAUAGUCUAUCUCUAUAUUAUUUAAAUAAUUUUCAUCAAUCCACUUUAUCUACUUUUUACACAUUCCUUAAUCUAUAUGUCCAAAAGUAACGGGACACUACUAAUGGGACAGAGGGAGUAGUAUUUUUAUAUAUUUCUAAAUUCUUUGAUAAAUACAUCUUUAAAAAAAUUAUUAUAAGCUAUUUAUUUUUAAUAUUUUAAUUUGUAAACUCAAUUUUCUCUCUUUUAGUUCAUUAUAAACUAUUUAUUUUUUAAUAUCUGUAUUCAUAUUGAAGUGUUGCAUGACAUUUCUUAAACUCGUGCCACAUUUUGGUUCAUAUUUCUAUUUUUAGUAAAAGUAGGUGAGACUAUUGCUAAAUGAUAAACAUGCAUUUUUACCUCUUGGAGUGUCAUUUUUGAUGCUAAGUUGUGAGGAUUUUGUGUGUUUGAUGGUCUAUUUGAGCUUAUAUUCGUUUAUGGUCAAGAACUUGUUACUUGCUUGUGUUUGAACGAAUUUUCAGAAAUAAUGAAGCAGAAUAUGGAAGAAUUGGCUGAAAUACAAGUUGUAGUUCGUCUCGAUAGGAGUUCGUGAGCGCAAACGGAUCAUAAAUCGGAGUUCGGACGAGAAAGAACGAGCCAAAACAAAAUCGUUGCGCAAAGCUAUCAGGAGUUCUGUUUCGUCGCGCGGUCCAGGCUCGCGGCCGCGCGACGUGGCCGCGCGAGUCUCCGUAUUUCCGCCCAAAAUUCGUUUUUUUGCCAUUUUGGGUAUUUUUGAGAGCUACAAGACCUAGGGCAUAUAAAUACUCCCCAAGAACUUAUUCUCUGCACAUUUUAUCAUCUUUUAUCAUAUUUUACUUUUCCUGAGAGCUGAGAGAGACGGAGAACGGAGCAAGAGCAAGAUUGAAGAUUCUCAACUAUACUACGGUUUUAUUGUUGAAUGAUUAUUUGUAUUUUUGAGAAUUGUAUUCUAGUUCAUAUGUCUAUGUGUGGCUAGAAUCCCUUUUUCCCAGGGUUUAGGGAGUAGACAUGAUUUGAAUUUCUGACUGUUUGAUUCGAUUAAUUGAGAUUGUUAUUCCUUUUUAUGUUCUUGUUAUAAUUGUUUGCUUUAUUGAUUGGCCACCAAUUUAGCAUAAUCAUAGGUUUUAAUUUGAGAUCGGGAGAUGAUAAUUAUUACCUGAACUAAGAACAUAGAACACAUAUAUUUAAUUCUAAAGGGAAUUGAUAUUUGUGAGGGCGUUAAUCCUAUGAGCUUUUAGGAGUUGCAUGUUAGAAGUGCGAUCCGGGGACGGUAGCCUUGCAUGUAAUCAACGGUUUGUAUGCCACGGGAGUGGGUAUAGACUAGUUUUGAGAUUGCCUUAGGAAUCAUCUUAUUAUUUGAAUUGAACAUGUUAGUUAGGAGAAUCUGUUGAAACUUUUGCCUUGGGAAAUCUUCUCUUAUCUGUUUCUCUGUUUCACAGCUUGCUUUAUUUUCUUUCUUGCUGUUUAUUUAUUUUGUUCUUUACUACAAAAACUCUCAUUUUCGUUUGUCCAGAUAGAGUAGAAUAAUUUAGGAUAGGCAUUGAUAAUAAUUAGUCUCUGUGGAAUACGACCUUGCUUGCUACUGUACACAAUUGCAUCCGUACACUUGCGGCGUGUUAAUAAAAUAGCGAACACUAAACUUUAAUUAUUUUAACACUUAGGACAUUUAUUCUACUCACAACACCCAAUCACUUUAUUAAAAUUCGUGUUACUCUCAAAUAGAUACUAAAAGUUGGAACGAAAAGAGUACUAAAUUUAUAGUAAAAAUUUGUGUAUUUCGAUCCACAUGGUAUCUCAUAGUCAAACUAAUUGCAUAAAGACAAAUUUAUUGCGGCUUUAGUUUAAAAUUCCGAAAUUCUACACAAAAUUGUUUAAUAAUUUUUCCAAAAUUCACUAUGAAUAAGGGUUUAUUAAAUUCUUUAUUUUAAUAAUAAUAAUAAUAAUAAUAAUAAUAAUAAUAAUAAUAAUAAUAUGAUACGAUCCGUAUCAAUGGUGAAGCUUUUCGAGCAAGCUCAAACUCCAGAAAUCAAGAGAGAAGAAAGAAGUUUGAUAACUAACAACCAAAAUAUUCAUUCAUACUCAAUAAACUUGGAGAUUACAUCAUUUAUACCUAAUAAUAAAAACCUAAUGGGCUAAUGGGCUAGAACAUAAUAGGGCCAAGCUAGGGGAUGGGCUGGGUGUAUCAUUCCCCACUCCUUCACAAUCACCUUGUCCUCAAGGUGAAGUUGUAAAGAAAAAAAUGGCUAUGGGAGAUGAUUUGGCCCGUUAAUUGCAAAAACAAAACUAAAUAGAGCCAAAAUACACUGCUCGACUCAUGCUUGAUAAAAGCUCCGACUGAAAAUCAACUAAGAAGCUUGAUAAAACUACGACCAACAUGUGCUCGACAAAAGUCUCAGCUGAAAACCUGCAGAAAAUUAAUCCGAGCAAACUCAAAACUGAUGCACAUCAGCUGGGCGUGCCCACGAGAUCCGGGCGGCGGUUCGCCACAUAGCUGGACUUCUUGAUCAAGUCCACGAUCCUUCUCCUUGACGUCGACGGCGUGAUGUGGCGCGGUUAAUAGCAGAGACAAGCCUUGAGGCCGUGGAAGAACCCCAAUUUUUUGAUCUCGGAGGAAGCGAGCACUUGGGCUGUGGGCAGCCACAAUCAAAGCUUUAGGGCCACUCAUAUUGGGCCCAAAUAUAUUGAUUGGGUUGGGCUCUUCAUUCUUAGACUUGGGCCCAAUAGAAAUCUCAAACAACCAAUUCAAUGGGUAAUGAUAAACCCUCGCCCGCUGUAGAAUAAUUGAGAUUGUCGGCAACGUCGGCGGCGGGGGUACACCCUCAAUAAUCUCAUCGUCAACUGCCGAAAUAGGAUUGCUCGGUGGAUCAAGGUCAUCUUCUCCAUAACCCAGAAGGAGUAUUUUUUUGUUGCGGCAGCGGUGGGUCGGAGACGGUGGUGACUGACUAGGUGGGGUGGGCGUUGGUGGGGGAUUUCUCGAAGGAGUUAUUGGUGGCGGUGGUUGUGGUGGCGGCGGCGAUGGUGGUGGUGUUGCAGGGGAAGACGGUACGUUUGGGGGUGGCUCGGUGGGAGGAGGUGGUAUGGGGCAGUGGGGAUGUUGACGGCGGCGGAGGCUGGAGAUCUAUCUGUGAUAGCGGAGAUGGUGGUUCGAGUCCUGUGAAAGGAUGGGGCGAUGAGAAUGGCUGUGCAGAGGCGCAAAUGCUUGAGAUAUCCUUCACUUUAACUUCAACUCCACCCAUGGAAUAAGGAGACUUGGGAUCUCCAAAGUCAUCCUCAUCAUCGGUGCCUAAAAGAAUCAAAUAUUUGCUGCGGCAUCGGUGGGUAUCGGACCAAGUUUGGUCACAAUUGUAACACAACCCGAGGUCGUUUUUAGCUUCGAUUUCAGAUCGGCUUAGACGGCGAAUGGGAAGAUGUGAUGUGGAGUGAGUUGUAUGUAAGAUUGGGGGAAACGAUGGUGGUGGAUAGGGAGCUGGAGUAAUGGGUGGUGGGGAAGGUGAUGGUGGUGGCGGAGAGUGGACUGGUGGCGGCGGAGACUGGGUGGGUGGCGGCGGGGAGUGGACUGGUGGUGGUGGGGAGUGGACGGGUGGCGGAGGAGAGUGCACUGGUGGAGGAGGGGAGUGGACGGGUGGCGGCGGAGAGUGCACUGGCGGGGGAGGGGAGUACACCGGUGGUGGAGGGGAGUGAACGGGUGGUGGGAAAGGAGAUGAAAACAGGGAGGAAUUUGGAGCCGCCUGAAAAUAGGCAUCGAAGGAGGUUGGCCAACUGUAGAUGGCGGUGUGAAGCUCUUCAAUGGCGGCACAGAUUUCAGAUCUUGACAUCUUUUUUUUUUUUUUUUGGAUAUUCAAAGAGAGAUACUCUCAAUGAAAGCACCAAUUGAUACGAUCCGUAUCAAUGGUGAAGCUUUUCGAGCAAGCUCAAACUCCAGAAAUCAAGAGAGAAGAAAGAAGUUUGAUAACUAACAACCAAAAUAUUCAUUCAUACUCAAUAAACUUGGAGAUUACAUCAUUUAUACCUAAUAAUAAAAACCUAAUGGGCUAAUGGGCUAGAACAUAAUAGGGCCAAGCUAGGGGAUGGGCUGGGUGUAUCAUAAUAAUAAUGGCAUACUCAAAAAUUAGAUUCAGCAAUUGUACUUGGCACCUAAUCCGAUCAGUUCUUUGCCCCAAAUUGUAGCAAGUGGGCCCCGCAACUUAACGCGCUAUAUAUACGCACCAAAGAUUUCAGCGUCGAAUUAGAAAAAAAGAAAAUCUAAAAAGGUUCGUUACUGUCGUAGCUGCCUGUCUCUCUACGAGCUUCUGCUUUCUCUCUCUACCUCCUUUUUCUUCUCUUUCACACUCUUUCUCUCUCUUCGAUCUCCCCCGAUCGAUGAAUGCAGGUUAGCUUCUCUGCUUAGCUCGUACCUCUCUGCUUGAAUUGUUCCGGAAGCUAUGUAAUUCUGUUUGAUUUGGGGGUAGCGGAGAAUUUUGAAUAAACCCUAAUUUCUCACUUUGCUCAAUUAUGGCUUUUGAGCUUGUGAAUGGGAGGUUGAAGUGUUUUGAUGUGUGGUUUAUGUAUUAAUUCACUCUUUGGUGUGGUAUUUGUUUGCUAAUUUUGAUAGUUUACCGUUAAAUACUCAUUCUUCUUGGAGUUCUUAGGUAUUAGUGGUUAGUAAUGUGUUUGAUUGGUCUCUUUUCUUUAUUAUAUGGCUUUUGGUAACUUAAUUGGGUUAAUCGUUGUUGAAAUUACUUAACUUUUUGUUUAUCACUGAAGAAGAAGAUUGCAUUUUGCAUUCUUGUGUAGCGAACUGUUGGAUUUUGUUUUGUGUAAUUAGUUAACUGUAUAUACCUGUGAUUUAUGAAGUCUCUAGAAUGCUUUUCAGUGGUUGAAUAUCUUGCAUUUCUGCUGUUUAUAAGAAGAUUGCAUUUUGCAGUGUUCUGUAGCUAAUAGCGAACUGUUGGAACUCUGUUUUGUGUAAUCAGUUAACUAAGUAGAAGUUUUAGAAGGCUGUCUAGUGGUUGAAUAUCUUUUGUUCUGCAAUUUUUGAUGAAAUUGUUUUUAUUGUCUUUUUAAGUCUUAUUACUUCUCUCUGAGUUUCGUCACUGUGGCUGGUGGAUUACAUUAGUCCGCGCAUUCGUGCUCUUUUUUUGUUGAUUAUUGCAUCAUAGUGUGAUUUGGUUUUUGCUGGUGCUCUUGAUGACUUUUUUAUUUGGUUUGAUGACUUGAGAUGCCCAUUCGACCCUCCACUGCAUCUUCAACUUCAAUUACCUGAAAUAUUUGUAAAGUAUGGGAUGAGCAUGCACAGUAUACUCAGUGUGGGAUAUCAUGCAAUAAUUGUCCAAGUUAAUAAAACGAUAACACAUACGAUAUUAACAUUUAUAACAUUUACUCGCACGGUGGCAUACCAAGGACCUUUCCGUCCUGGACCUAUUCAACGGGCCCCUGGCUAUUAUGGUUGCAACCUUAACUUUUACAUUUAAAUCGUAUUGUGGCAUACCAAAGACCUUUCCGGCCUGGACCCAUUCAACGGGCCCCUAACGAUAUAUAAUUUAACUCGUAUACGGUAAACACAUAAUAUUAAAAUGACCACAACAUGUAUUAAAAUAAAAUCUCACACUGAAAAUUUUGUACUUGAUUAAUAACUUGAGUAAUUCACAUCAACAGUUACGUUCUAGUCACGCCGUACCUAGUCAGAUAAAUUCAGAUAAUAGAUGUAAUCAAGCUUUUUUUUUAAGAUAAUUUAAAUAAUUUUAAGAAUUGUUCUAUAGCACUAACCCAAAGUCAUGAGCCUAAUAAAUAAAUAAAAUACUAAAAUAUGUAUACUUUCUUGUGGAACUUAGCUCAAAAUUUUUAACUAAUAAAGCAUGUUUCAAUACUUAAAUAUAUAAAAGUAGAUUUGAGCCCAUUUAUGCCAAAAAUCAAGUUCACUAUUUAAAGUCCAAGAAAAGAAAGUGUUCAGCCCAAUUAUAGAAGCCCAUAUUAAAUAUCCCUAAGCCCAAAACUCAUUUCAAUUUAGUAGAUUGUUAGUUAUGCUUUCUUUGUUCAAUUUAAUUAUGUUUUAUUUCGAUAACAUAGCAAAUUUAUUAAUUCAGUGAGUAUAAUGAAACACUAGUCUAAAAUAUGUGACCUAAUUGUUUUAUUGAUUGAUACAAUUGGAUGAAUUAUUUACAUCUCAAUGAGAAGAAGCUUUUAGUUUAAGAAGGGAUAUUCGUGCUUAUAAUAGAAUAUUGUCAUUUACUUCGUUCAGUGUAAAAUUGGAUAAAGAACUCGCAUCUGUAAGACGAAGAGUUUAUUCUUUAAUAUAUGAUCUUCCUGAAUUGAUCCCACAAUAUACAUGUAUUUUCAACUAUACUUUUAUGACGCACAAAGUGAGGUUGAGAACUGAAUUAACAUAAGAUGCACGUUUUAGAGUUCAACCCGUAUGAAAAAUUCUUACAAAUUAAUUUAUGUAAGAAUUUACCGGUGUUUUUGAUAAAAUUAUGUUAAUUAAUUUACUGGUGUUUCUGAUAAAAUUAUUUAAAUUUGAAUAAAUUUCCUCAUUACCAAGAGCUUAUUAUUAUUAUUAUUAUUAUUAUUAUUAUUAUUAUUAUUAUUAUUAUUAUUAUCUAUAUACUAAUAGAAAAGAGCCUAAGCAUUCUAUGGGACAACUUGCGGAUUGUCUAUUUUACCCCUAUUAUUUAUUUUGUAUUAUAUAUUUAUAAAAUAAAUCUAUUUGAUAUAUAUUUAUUUGCCACCCAAAUUUAUAAAUAAUAUUUUAUAUUAUAAAACCAAAUAUAUACAUAAAACCGUUGUCAAAUUAAUUAGAUCAAAAAUUUCUUCUCUACUUAGGUCCAAUAUUUGUUUCCCUCAUCUAAUCUAAUUUCUAAAUAAAUCCCUAAUAUAAUUGGUAAUUAUACAUCACAAUUCGUUUUUCCCUAAAAGAAGUUCAUUUAAACCAACGAUCAAGGAGAUUCCAAAAUCUUAUCGCAUUAGAAUUCUAUUUAAUUUAUUACAUAUUUUAUUUUAAGGUUUUUUUACAGUAUUAUAUAUUUAUAAGAAUAUAUUAUUCAUUAGAUAGUACACUAAAUCUAUGUGAUAUAUAUCUAUAGCUAUUGAUAAGGCUAUAAAUAAAUAUAUUCAUCCAAUAAAUUAUGUAAUGAAAGUAAUAAAUUAAUAGAUUUUCUAAAAUAAUAGAUUAUUAAAUAAAAUAACAUUAAUUACACGUACAACGUACGUUCUUUCUGCUAGUUACUCAAAAUGACUCGAAUAUUCAAAUUGCAACAAUUGCUCUAUUUCAGGGGGCAAUUGCGUAGAGCUUGGUUUUAGAUUGCGAAGUGUGAAUUACCCUUUAUUAUAUCUUAUUCAAAGAUCACAAAAAGGGGGAUUUAAAGUCUCCCAAAUCUAUUAUAAAAAUAGAGAAUAUCUUCUACUUUUGCAUGUUAUUCUACCACUUCAAAUAAACAAACAGGUUUUGUUGUUUAUUCAACUGACGUAGCCCUCUGAUCACGGCCAAAACUUAUAAUGCUAUUUAAUAUGAAUAUUAGGGUCAUUUUUUAAGAUUUGGGUUAGACUCAAUCUCCCAAAUCGAACAGAAAGUAGCUUUCCAUAUAAAUAGUCUUAGUUGCUUUUGCCUCCAAAAAUCACUCUUUAUAGUUCCACAAUUAUUUUCUUCGUCUUUUCCUCAUUCACACUCCAAUUAAUUAUUUUCUCCGUCUUCGUCGCUCCAAUGGGAAAAUAUUAUUUUAGCUUUGAAUAAAAGGAAACUCUGCAUUUCCUACUUUCAUCAUUAAUCCUUCCCAUUUGCCCAUCAUAUCCACACACACUCUAUAUAUACAUGUAUAUGGAUUUCAUAGUUCAAUAUUCUAAAAAAUUACUACUGUCAAAAUCAAGCCAAAAAAUGCAAAAAUCUCCCCAUUUUCUCAUCCUUGCACUACUCUUACCAAUCCAUUAUUUGAUGGAUUAUAGUUCAGCCAAAAACGAUAUCAACACCGAUCGUUCUUCACUUCUCGCCUUAAAAUCCCAAAUCACUUUAGAUCCUCAAAAUAUAUUGACCCAAAAUUGGAGCACUGAAGCCAGUGUUUGCAGUUGGAUCGGAGUUACUUGUGAUUCACGUUACAAUAGGGUUACUCAGUUGAAUAUAUCGUACAUGGGUCUUGUCGGAACCCUCCCACCAGAAAUUGGGAAUCUUUCUUCUCUCGUUUCUUUAGAAGUGAACGAGAACUCCUUUCAUGGCCCCAUUCCCCCAUCUAUCUUCAACAUGUCAUUUCUAGAAGUUUUGGAACUAAGGAAUAAUAGUUUGUCUAGUAGUUUACCUCUUGAUAUGUGCAAACACAAUCUGCAUAGACUCAAGAGGCUUCGUUUGUCUUACAACGAGUUGUAUGGGGAAAUACCAUCGAGUUUGGGGCAGUGUUCACAGCUUGAGUAUCUUUCUUUGGGCAACAACAAUUUCACUGGAUUUGUGCCG
Molecule: long non-coding RNA, 35240 nt
Filed under: Salvia miltiorrhiza (redroot sage)
Lineage: Eukaryota; Viridiplantae; Streptophyta; Magnoliopsida; Lamiales; Lamiaceae
Description: long non-coding RNA (SMIL_LNC011878)
Source: RNAcentral